GCGGAGGAAAAGAAAAUAACAAUGAUUUCCCUAGUAACGGCGAGUGAAGAGGAAAGAGCUCAAAGUUGGAACCUGUUUGGCUUAGCUAAACCGGAUUGUAAACUGUAGAAGUGUUUUCCAGACACGCCUGGUAAAAAAGUCCUUUGGAACAGGGCAUCAUAGAGGGUGAGAAUCCCGUCUUUGGCCAGAGCUGUUGUCUUUUGUGAUACAUUUUCAAAGAGUCAGGUUGUUUGGGAAUGCAGCCUAAAUUGGGUGGUAAAUCUCACCUAAAGCUAAAUAUUUGCGAGAGACCGAUAGCGAACAAGUACCGUGAGGGAAAGAUGAAAAGAACUUUGAAAAGAGAGUUAAACAGUAUGUGAAAUUGUUAAAAGGGAACCGUUUGGAGCCAGACUGGCUUGACUGUAAUCAAUCUAGGCUUCGGCCUGGAUGCACUUGCGGUUUAUGCCUGCCAACGACAAUUUUUUUUGAGGGAAAAAACUAUUCGGAAUGUGGCCCUCCCUCGGGGGGGUGUUAUAGCCUUAUAGAAAAUACCUUGAAUUGGAUUGAGGAACGCAGUGAAUGCCUUUAGGCAAGAUUGCUGGGUGCUUUCGCUAAUAAAUGCUAGAAUUUCUGCUUCGGGUGGUGCUAGUGUUUAAAGGAGGAACUCGCCUAGUAUAUUUUUUAUUCGCUUAGGUUGUUGGCUUAAUGACUCUAAAUGAC
This 699-nucleotide ribosomal RNA is filed under the name Mucor flavus. RNAcentral describes it as "eukaryotic LSU rRNA". It matches the Rfam family "Eukaryotic large subunit ribosomal RNA", at positions 50 to 648 of the family's 3401-position model. The record is from RNAcentral. Lineage: Eukaryota; Fungi; Mucoromycota; Mucoromycetes; Mucorales; Mucoraceae.